GGGCCUGUAGCUCAGUGGAUUAGAGCACGUGGCUACGAACCACGGUGUCGGGGGUUCAAAUCCCUCCUCGCCCGA
This 75-nucleotide transfer RNA is filed under the name Gracilaria firma. Its description in RNAcentral is "tRNA-Arg". It matches the Rfam family "tRNA". Rfam says of the family: Transfer RNA (tRNA) molecules are approximately 80 nucleotides in length. Their secondary structure includes four short double-helical elements and three loops (D, anti-codon, and T loops). The record is from RNAcentral. Lineage: Eukaryota; Rhodophyta; Florideophyceae; Gracilariales; Gracilariaceae.